AGUGCGCAUUGCCUACCCCGUGCUACAGGACUUCGCUGAGCGCCAGGCGCAGGGACUGGACGCAUACGGACCCCCGGGAGCCCCGGAACUCGCGUUCCCACGCCAGACCUCAUCCCCUUCUGACAGAGACGCCCUCGUCCCACCGUCGCCGCAGGCGCCAGGGGUCCCUCCCCACCGCCGAGGUCUAGCCGCCGCCCGCCCGCCUUCAGGGCAGCGCGGGGACCCCCUGGCCCUCGCCCAGUGCUCCGGGGCUCACCCGCCGCUCCUCGCCGCCUCCGGAGGCGAGGGAUUGUUUCCCACAAGGGACUGGAGUCCAGGGAAGGACUCGCCUGGAGCGGGAGGCGGGGAUGCACAUGCGCAGAGGGAGAGGCCGAGCGCCCGAGUUAGGCUGGUGGAUGCGAUGCGGGGCUUGGAAGCGGCGCUAGACGGUGCCUGUCAGCUCUGGCCGCAACCCUCAGUUGUAAAAUGAGGCUGAUAGUGCCUACCUAGCAGGGGUUUUAUGAGAAUUGGAGGCGCUUACGUUGUAAAAGCAUUUAAACCGGUGUCUGACACAUAAAUUGUUCAGUAUAUUUCUCACAAUUAUAUAUCAUGCUGGUCAUCAUAAGGCUCUCCUGCAAAACAGCCUUGUAUAGUGGGUUGAGAGAUUACUGUCUCAGUUACCCACUCCUGCUUGGAACCAGGAUUCUGUCAGUGUCCCCAGAGGUUGUGGAUCAAAUCAAUGUGCCUGUUAGACACAAGCCAAGAGAAGGAAAGGUGUGCUUGAAUUCAUUCACGAUCAUGCAUGGUAACGUUUAACUGAAAGACUGGAAGAGAAAACUAAAAUCUGUGACCAGUAUGGUUAUUCUCUGGAAUAAGGAAAAACAGAAGCUAGCAAUUCAAGACCCAAACAUAAAAUUGUUUAUAUGUUUAAAAAAAAAAAAGCCGUUUGAGUAACAAAUUUGAAGAAGAAAGCACGCACUCAUUUCCCAAAACCAACCAUACUUUACCCAGAACUACACUACACGUACAUUCUUUUACGUGCACAUCUGGCAUUUUCAGCACACUAUGAGCAUGUGCGUGUGUUACAACUUUUCAUUUAAAAAAUCAACUCCUGGGUCAUUGUCCACUUUUUUAAACUUUUCAUUUGCUCAUAAUUUCAGAUUUACAGAAGAGUUGCAAAAUAGUUCCUAUAUGCCUUUCACCCAGAUUCCACUAGUGUUAGUAUUUUACAUGACCAUGGUAUAUUUAUCAAAACUAAGAAAAUAACAUAGGUACAAGUACUAUUAACUGAACUGCAGAGUUUAUUCAGACUUAAGCAGUUCUUCCACUAAUGCCCUUUUUCUGUUCCAGCAACCAAUCAAGGAUAUUGUCACCGGGGGUCCUUGCUCCCAGAGCUCCCAAGAUGGUGGUGGGCUGCUUCCGAGAUGGGGGCAAGCCUCAUGUUCUCUGACCUGGGGUUCUUGGCCUCAUGGAUUACAAGGAAUGGAAUUUUGGGCUAUGUGGUGAGUGUUAUAGCUCAAUUAGAAGCCGUGGGUCACGGAAGAGAACUGUGGAACCCAGUGACUAGUGUUCAGCUCGAUUAGGACCAACCUGGGACUUAGCUGUGCAGGAACAAUGGCAAGCCUUUAGCCCAACUUGGGAGCAGCAAUGGGCACCUCGCUGGAUCAGGAGCACAGCGGACACCCUGCCAGAUCCGGAGGGAUGGAAGUCAGCGGCGGGUCUGCGAAGGCCGCAAACAGCAGCGGUGGACAGCGAGCGAAAGCUCAGCUCAAGCCGUAACAAACACGGACCAGAAGAGAGUGCAGUUGCAAGAUUUAAUAGAAUGAAAACACAGCUCCCAUGCAAAGGGAGGGGACCCAAAGUGGGUAGCUGUUGCCGGCUCCAAUGCCUGGGUUUCUAUCCCGAUCAUUGUCCCUCCCGCUGUGCUCUUAGGCAAUAGAUGAUUGGCUAUUUCUUUACCUACUGUUUUUGCCUAAUUAGCAUUUUAGUUAGUUCUCUUUACUACCUGAUUGGUCGGAUGUGAGCUAAGUGCAAGCCCCUUGUUUAAAUGUGGAUGCAGUCAACUUCUCAGCUAAGCUUAGGGAUUCUUAGUCGGCCUAGGAAAUCCAGCUAGUCCUGUCUCUCAGUAUCACAGUACAUUUACUUGUCAUGUCUUAGCCUUGGCCAGUUUGUAAUAGUUUCUUGCUCCUACCUUGUCUUUCAUGACCUUGCUAUGAAGAUGAAAGCACGCUCUCUUGACUUCAGUCCUCCCACCUUGGCUUCCCAAAGUGCUUGGGAUUACAGGCAUGAGCAACCACACCCAGCCUAUAGUUUAACUUUAAAACAAGAACGAUAAUGAUCCCUUCCUGAAACUAACCCCCUCCUUGUUUGGGGACAAAAACCGUUUUUGUAAAACUAGUGGAAGUCCACAAGUUUAGAAUUUUGGUAGGAACCUGAAUUCUGUAAGAUGCAGGCAUAAACUCUAACCAGUUUUUGCUUUUAUAAUCUGCCUUUUUGUAACUGCUUACUACUCCAGAGUCACAUAGCCAGUGGUCACAAGAUUUAUAACAUCUCCAAUUGUCACUAUAGAUAAUGUCACUAUUGUAAAACCUAAAACUAGUGUUUGAGUUAUUUUUCAGACUUUACAUUCUGAUGGACCAACUGGUGCCACUGGGACCAGUAACCCAUAGCAAAAAAUGGACUCAGUUGAUCCUGUGACCCCCUUCAAGAACCGAUUCAACACAAGAAGACAGUUUCAACAGCCCUAUGAUUUCAUCCCUGACCCAGCCAAUCACCAUUCCCCAUUCUCUAGCCUCCUGAUGGGCAGGAGGCUAGAGAGGUUCAAAGUUUUUCAUCCUUGAAAGACUGUAGCCUCCAAAUUCUCAGGAAGGCAGAUUUGAGAAUUAUCUCUUAUACUUGCUUGGCCACCCUGCAAUUAUUAAACUCUUUUUCUGCUGCAAUCCUGUCGUUCUCAGUUUAUUGGCUUUUUUCUAGGCAGCAGCCAAGAAGAACCCACAUGGUAACAUUCUCCUGAUUAGACUGAGGUUGUGAGUUUUUAGGAAGCACCCCACAAACAGGUUGUGGCUUUCUCAUAGUGUGAUAUCAGAUGGCAUGAUAUCAACAUGACUUUUUACUGGUUAAUUGACCAUGAUUACAUGUAUUAAAUUAACUGAAAUUUGUCCUGAGGCUGCCUCCCUACCUUUAGGGCCGAUGUAAGGACUGCAACCUACCUUGGUAUGUAAACAAACAAAGCAUAGCUUGUUAAACUUUUAUAGCUGGCUGAGUCAGCCAGUUACAGAAGCUGAGCUAAAGCCAGUUACAGGCUGCCAACUAAUCAGACCAUUUCCAAAUAAGGCCAAAGUUGAGCUGUAACCAGUCAAGCUGUUUCUGUAGAGCACUUCUGUUUUCUGUCUGUAAAUACUCCCUGCCCACUUUAUAGAAUUCUCUGAACCUCUUCUAGUUCUGAGUAUUGUCUGAUUCAAGAAUCUUUCUUUGCUGAAAUGAACUCGGCUAAACUUAAUUUUCUAAAAUUUGUCUUUUAACACUUGGUUAAGGUGGUGUCUGAUAGGUUUCUCCCUAUUUUUCCCUUUCCAGUCUAUAUACAGAAGUGGGUCUACAUGUCCAGCCCACACUCAAGGGGAAAGGAAAUAAGCUCCAUUUUAAAUUUGUGGUUAUAUUUUUAAAUUACCACACUGAUUAGUAAAUUCAGGGAGAGAUUCUUUGAGACUAUGCAAAUACCCUAUUUCUACUUUUCUACUGAUUUUAGUUAUCAUUGGUGGAUCUUGGCUGCAACCAUUACUACUGUGGUGUUCCAAAUGGUGAUUUGUUGUGUGAACUCUGAAAACUUGAGACAGGUCUCAGUUAUUAGAAAGUUUGUUUGCGGCCGGGCGCUAUGGCUCACGCCUGUAAUCCCAGCACUUUGGGAAGCCAAGGCGGGUGGAUCAUGAGGUCAGGAGUUCAAGACCAGCCUGACACUCUGUCUUAAAAAAAAAAAAGAAAGUUUGUUUUGCCAAGGUUGAGGAUGCAGGCCUGUGACACAGCCUCAGAAGGUCCUGACAUGUGCCCAAGAUGGUCGGAGCACAGCUUGGUUUUAUACAUUUCAAGGAAACAUGAGACAUCAAUUAACAUAUGUAAAAUGAACAUUGGUUCUGUCCAAAAAGGCGGCAAAAGCGGGACAACUGAAAGCAGGGAGGGUGCUUCCACGUCAAAGCAAGAGAGCAUUCUGCCAGUGGACUGCACGGUGACUCAGACUGCAACUCUUCCCUGCUGGCCUACCCUGCAGAUUUUUGAACCAAGGAAGCCUUCAUAUUUAUGUAAACCUUCAGAGAUUUCUACAUUAUUCCAGGAUCAGCAUAAAAUGAAGAAAUCCUAUGGAUCCUUGUCAUUUGAAGAUGUGACUGUGGGCUUCACCCAGGAGGAGUGGCAGCAUCUGGACCCUGCUCAGAUGACCCUGUACAGGGAUGUGAUGCUAGAGAACUACAGCCACCUCGUCUCAGUGGGAUAUUGCAUCCCUAAACCAGAAGUGAUCUUCAAAUUGGAACAAGGAGAGCAGCCAUAGACAUUAGAGGAAGAGCCCCCAGGCCAGAGAUACCCAGAUCAUCCAGAAGCAAUAAGGAAAAAGAGCAACACAACUUUAUCUUAUGACAAUAGAGGAUAUCUGAAACCCCAAAUCAAUACAAGUGGAAAUGCUGCCAGAAUCACUGAAAAAUUAAGGAGGUCUAUAUGUACCAGCAGAUGAAAAGAAACAAAAACAUUUCUGGUGCUUGAAGGAACUGGUAAUAUACUUGACAGAGAUAAAGUACAUACUCUGAGGUGCAAAGCUUAAAUCUCUCUUGGAAUAACAUCAGUGCUGUGCACAGGACAGCUGGAGCUCCUUUGAAUGCAGUUUGGUUCUGUGAAGCUGAUGUAGGGUUACGUAUGGAAACAGACACACAAGUCAUAUUUUUCUGUGACAAUGCAAGAGAUGAGACUUUCCAUUUCAGAAAAAAAAUGUUACAGACACCUGUAUGUGGGGAAAUAAACUUACAUGCUAUCUUAGCUUGUAUUCCUACAAACAAUUUGAAAUAAAAAUUUACUCAAUAACUAUUGGUCAGGAUGGGCAGACCUACUGCAGAAGUGAGGAAAUGGGGAAUAAGGCUGGUUAGGACAAAGAGAAAGUACAAGAGGGUGAUAACAGAGCAAGCCAUUACUAAGGCUACUCUGGCAAGAAAGGAGCGACAAUCUGGGUUGAUGCAUAAACUGAGUUUGGUGUAUGUGCAAAACACUUGUUCAUAAGAAGCUCUCUUGUUAGGUUAAGACAUGGCUCUGUUCCCUUUACCUAGUAAAACUGAUGGAGUGUAAAAGCUCAUGUCCUUUGAAGCUGAGUAAUCCAAAAGGAACCAGCAUAAAAUGCCCCACAAAACUACUGCAAGAAAAAAGAGGUGAAAAAGAUUAGAAAAAAAAAGUAGGUGAUGAAAUGUCACCUGAUCAAAGUGGACAUAAAGUAGAUAAAUAAUUGGGCCAAAUAAUAAACCAUGAAUUUCAAAAAGGACUAAUUGAAUUGAUUACCUGCAUGAUAUGAGAGUUCAAGAAGGAUGUUAAGGCAACAGUAUAAUGUUUUAAUUCAUUUAAUAAAAUGCAUUCUGGGAUGUCAGGCUGAGAAAAGAAUUGGAAGAGAAAAUAAGAACCACAGUAAAGAAAACAAAUUGGGGCCAGGGACGGUGGCUCACACCUGUAAUCCCCGCACUUUGGGAGGCCAAGGCCAGUGGAUCACUUGAGGUCAGGAGUUUGAGACAGGCCUGGCCAACAUAGUGAAACCCCAUCUCUACUAAAAAUACAAAAAAUUAGCUGGGAAUGGCGGCACACCUGUAAUCCCAGUUACUUAGGAAGCUGAGGCAGGAGAAUAACUUGAACCCAGCAGGCAGAGGCUGCAGUGAGUCAAGAUCACACCACUGCACUCUAGCCUGGGCAACAGAAUGAAACUCCAUCUCAAAAAAAAUAAAAGCAAAUUGGAGGAUUCCCAAAGAAUAGGCAUUGCUGAAAUGUAGAUUAGAAAUAAAUGUGGAAAGCCUUUCAAGCAAGAAGAAACUGAAGUAAAUAAAAGGUGAAUAUUGCAUAAAGAAGAUAGUAUAAAAGAUAUUUCACAUAUAUGCUAUUACAUACAGUUGAUUCCCCAAAGUAGAAAAUGAAAUAAAUAGAACCAAUAUUGAAAAUAUUCCAAUAACACUUUUUGGGGAAAAGAAGAUACAAUUGAAUCUACAUAAAAAGACAAACCAUCCCUCAGGAAGGCAGACCAACAAUGAUCAACAUCGUGAUAUAUUCCUAAUAAUAUUACUAGACUUCAAAGAUAAAGAAUCAUUUUGACAGCCAGUCAAUAUAAGAAAAAAGUCCAGCUGAUCUCAGCCUUUUCCAUAACAAAGUUUGCUAAAAAAAACUGAUAAAAGUCUGCAGAGCAAUUGCUACAAAAUCAUUAGGGUGGGUCAAAUUAAGAACUUUAUACCAGGUUAAAGAGCGAUUCUUUAACAAAAAAGAGGAAACCUUUUUUUGAAUAGGCAAGAAUUCUGGGCCCUUUCUCCCUAAGACCUUUUAUUAGAGGAUGAAUAUCAGAUAACCAAGAAGUGACACAAAAAGCAUGGUAAAAAUAUUGGUGGUAGCCUCUGAAUUUAAUUGAGGAACUAAUUCUAAAGCAAAUGUGAGAAUGUGUUAUUGAAAACCUGGGCGUUAUAGACUGUAUUUAAUUUGAUUAAGUGGAGGCUAAAAACAAGUGGGAAGAAUGACGGUAUUCUAAUAAAGCGAAUUAUGUUAAAAUGCAGUGUAUACAUUCCUAAGAAUCACUGAUCUUUGCAAAUGAGUACAAUAAAAAUCAUAGGACUAAUGGGAAAAUGAGGUCAAGGUCUAACACUCAAAAACUUUCUGUGUCAGUGAUACACAACAGUGAAGUCUUCAGUUGCAAUUUUGGAUUGAAUUUCUCCUUUUGAUUAUUUUGGUUUUUGCUUUAUGAAUUUUGGAGCAUUAUUAAGUUGUACAUAUUAGGAUCCUUAUGUCCACUUCAUGAAUUAACCACUUAAUAAUUAUGUAAUGUCUCUCUUUAUACCUAGUAAUACUCUUUGUUCUAAACACUACUU
RNAcentral lists this long non-coding RNA (7061 nucleotides) under Homo sapiens (human). RNAcentral describes it as "non-protein coding lnc-ZNF33A-2:7". Lineage: Eukaryota; Metazoa; Chordata; Mammalia; Primates; Hominidae. The record is from RNAcentral.